CGUUAUUAAACACUCAACGGUGGACGCGACUGCAGCAGCGGCAGAAGUGCUGCGACGCUUUAAAACAUGGUGACUGUGGAUCGGUUCAAUCCUGGGAUUCACUCAGUUCUGGAGGAUUGUGAAGCUGAAAAACUGCCCAAAACUGAUGAUUUGAUGUCAGAGACGCUGAACGUGUGUCAGUCCUUCAAAACAGGCCCACAGAAAGUGCCCAUAAGUGAUAGGAAACUCGGUAACGUCAUAUGACCAUCUGUAUCCUCCCUCUAGUCAUCAAGUUUGCAAUGAAUCCCUUCUAUGAAGCCAACGCAGCGAUUUCCUCCACAGCUCUCGAGAGGAAAGUACAGUUUCUUGGGAAGAAGCAUCUGCUCAGGUGAUUCAUCUUAUACAUGUACUCUUCUGUUUUUGCAGUCUUGAUGUCAUGCAUAAAUAUACAGGUGUGUUGUUAGUACUGUCAGAUACAUAUUUCAAUUUCAGUUGUUCAUACUCAUCAGAUUCUGACCCGCUACUGUACGACAGAUGUCUGUGAAUAAUGAUUAUUCUUAAAGACUUGUUUAAAGCAUCACACAGGAAUGCUUUCUGCAGAAAUUACACAUCAAACCAUUAAAAUGCAUAAUUUCUAACCUGUGGUCAACAUUAAUGUUGUCCGAUAAUAACCUUAAAUCAAAUAAACAAUUUUAUUAUUCAAUACUUCUUUAAUUUUAAUUGAACAAACUACAAUAUUUAGACUUUAGUGCUUCUUUUCAAAAUAGUGCUUAAACGCUUCACCUCAAUCAUAUUUUUAAUACAGUACAGUGUAUAUAUUUGGCACUCUCUACAUAAUUAUUUUAACAUACAUUAGAAAUUAAUCACAGUUACAGGAAAAUAAAAUUACACACACACACACACACACACACACACACAACACAGUGACAAAAAUCAGCAUUUGUCAUGUUUUCCAGUAAAAACAUCUAAACAUCCUUAAAACAUAAUGCAUUUACUUACAGUAAGACUCAAACAGCAUGUGAUAGACCCGUUUCCACAUAAUGCAUUCAUUUUUUUUAUUUUGACUAAAAAUAAAACAAAAUGAUUUGCAGAUGAGGUAUGAAAAAUAAAUAAAAAAUAUGUCAGGGGAAAAUAAGUGCUAUUUUCUUACACAGCUGCACUUCUCAAAUAAAAUCAUAUCGUUUUAAGGACGUUUAGAUAUUUUU
Carassius auratus (goldfish) is the source of this 1184-nucleotide long non-coding RNA. RefSeq lists it as uncharacterized. The transcript is spliced from 3 exons. The record is from RefSeq and is a predicted model, not a curated record. Lineage: Eukaryota; Metazoa; Chordata; Actinopteri; Cypriniformes; Cyprinidae.